Molecule: ribosomal RNA, 219 nt
Filed under: uncultured bacterium
Lineage: Bacteria
Description: partial 16S ribosomal RNA
Rfam family: Bacterial small subunit ribosomal RNA
Source: RNAcentral
UAACCUACCCAUCAGAGGGGGAUAACACUUGGAAACAGGUGCUAAUACCGCAUAACAGUUUAUGCCGCAUGGCAUAAGAGUGAAAGGCGCUUUCGGGUGUCGCUGAUGGAUGGACCCGCGGUGCAUUAGCUAGUUGGUGAGGUAACGGCUCACCAAGGCCACGAUGCAUAGCCGACCUGAGAGGGUGAUCGGCCACACUGGGACUGAGACACGGCCCAC